CUAAGCGCGAAGCCAACCUUAAGAUGAGUAUUCGUUGAAGAGACCUGGAAGAUGACCAGGUAGAUAGGCUAUAGGUGGAAGCACAGUGAUGUGUUAGGGAGCCAAGUAGUACUAAUUUCUCGAAAGCUUCCUUU
Molecule: ribosomal RNA, 134 nt
Filed under: Saprospira grandis DSM 2844
Lineage: Bacteria; Pseudomonadati; Bacteroidota; Saprospiria; Saprospirales; Saprospiraceae
Description: partial 23S ribosomal RNA
Rfam family: Bacterial large subunit ribosomal RNA
Source: RNAcentral